UUAAGAAAUGAAUACUUGAAACAUAUUGUAUUUUCUAAUUUUAAAAAGAUGACGUUUUGAUGACGUCGCAUGGCGACGUUUCAGUACAUUUUGCUUUUUCAGUAAACACUUCAUCUGUUGAUAAAUACUGUGAACGUUUUGUGUAUAUCUAAAUAUAUUUACCUAUUUUGAAAGACAUGUAUAGUAUCAAAACAUAAAAAUACAAAUUGUUUAGUCUCUAGGAGAUCUUGUAAGAUUUCCGCUGCUAUUUUUGCUAAAUAGGUGCAAUUUGGGUACUCGUUGCAAAUUGGGUACCGUUACGUUAGAUUUUA
This 311-nucleotide long non-coding RNA is filed under the name Mytilus galloprovincialis (Mediterranean mussel). Lineage: Eukaryota; Metazoa; Mollusca; Bivalvia; Mytilida; Mytilidae. The record is from RNAcentral.